Long non-coding RNA from Pantherophis guttatus, 1022 nucleotides. RefSeq lists it as uncharacterized. The record is from RefSeq and is a predicted model, not a curated record. NCBI's taxonomy places the organism in Eukaryota, Metazoa, Chordata, Lepidosauria, Squamata, Colubridae.
UAAAGGUUGACUGUGCCCUCACAGUUGUGAUCAGCAACAGAAAUUUGUAUAUUUGGGACAUGUGGUGCCAGCAGACGCUACAUCUGGAAAAAUGUUUAUGUUUGACAAGGAUCAGGGAGCUGAAAACAGAUAAGGCUCUCACAAGUCUGUUUUUCUAAGGAACAUGUUGAACAGCAGAUGGUAGUACUUCAAAAAACACCACCACCACCACAAUGCAUUGUAAUCUGCAUUUCAACACAUAGACCCUAAUUAAUCCCCAUUUAAUUACCAGUCCCUGUGCAUAACUGUAUAACGAAUAAUCUUCAAACAAUUGGACAAGAACUGUUUAUAUUCUAAUGCCAAGAGAAGAUUACAACAGAGAAGAUUAUAACAUUGGAAAGAGGUUGACAUGACAAAGAUGGCAUGCAGGGAUUGCUCAAACCAAAAUGGCCCGGUGGAAUUUAAAAAGAAGGCUUCUGAAAAUGAAAAUGUAGCUUCUGGCAAGUUCAAGACAGUUAAAGGAGUGAUCCUGAAGAGUUCUCUCUACUUGGUUUGAGUAAUGCUGCAGAUCCAAUUUGGAAUACAAGCGGUCAGAAAUUUUCCCAAGAAUGCACAGCCUUCCGUUUGUGAAAAUCAAGGUAAAACAGAUGAAACUGGUUUAGUGAGAUUCAAACCAGUGUUGCAGUUGCACUUCCAUGCACUCAAAAAUACCUCUUUGAAUCAAACAUAAAUCAUUGUAUAGCACAGAGUUGUCAAACUUGUGACCUCUGGGCCAAAAUGCUUCGUGCAUUGGCCACACCCAGCCUUAGUUUAUUGAAGGGGGUGGGGAGUCACAAUACAUCACAUGAUGACAAUGUGACACCAUGAGUUUGACACCCUGGCAUAGCACAAUGAAGCCUAGAAAAUAUGUAUAGAUCUAACUUUGCACUCAAACAAAUAUAACAGAGGGGCAAACUAGAUGAUGCAUUAAAUAUCACAUGGUCAUCCUUCUGACUCUUUUUAGGGAAAGUGAUUAGUAAUCCAAAUAAAAUCAUUUACUUGUA